This 495-nucleotide ribosomal RNA is filed under the name uncultured Sphingobacteriales bacterium. RNAcentral describes it as "bacterial SSU rRNA". It matches the Rfam family "Bacterial small subunit ribosomal RNA", at positions 887 to 1382 of the family's 1533-position model. The record is from RNAcentral. Lineage: Bacteria; Pseudomonadati; Bacteroidota; Sphingobacteriia; Sphingobacteriales.
GCCCGCUCAAGAACUCAAAGGAAUUGACGGGGCCCGCACAAGCGGAGGAGCAUGUGGUUUAAUUCGAUGAUACGCGAGGAACCUUACCUGGGCUCGAACGUAAGAUGACUGUAGGUGAAAAGCUUACAUCUCUUCGGAGCAUUUUACGAGGUGCUGCAUGGUUGUCGUCAGCUCGUGCCGUGAGGUGUCGGGUUAAGUCCCAUAACGAGCGCAACCCCUACCUUUAGUUGCCAUCAGGUUAAGCUGGGGACUCUAAAGGAACUGCCUACGCAAGUAGUGAGGAAGGCGGGGAUGACGUCAAAUCAGCACGGCCCUUACGUCCAGGGCUACACACGUGCUACAAUGGCCGAUACAGAGGGCAGCUACCUGGUGACAGGAUGCAAAUCUCCAAAGUCGGUCUCAGUUCGGAUCGGAGUCUGCAACCCGACUCCGUGAAGUUGGAUUCGCUAGUAAUCGCGCAUCAGCCAUGGCGCGGUGAAUACGUUCCCGGGCCUU